UACGGAGGAUCCAAGCGUUAUCCGGAAUCAUUGGGUUUAAAGGGUCCGUAGGCGGUUUAGUAAGUCAGUGGUGAAAGCCCAUCGCUCAACGGUGGAACGGCCAUUGAUACUGCCUACGUAUAAUUAUUAGGAAGUAACUAGAAUAUGUAGUGUAGCGGUGAAAUGCUUAGAGAUUACAUGGAAUACCAAUUGCGAAGGCAGGUUACUACUAAUGGAUUGACGCUGAUGGACGAAAGCGUGGGUAGCGAACAGGAUUAGAACCGUACGUACGUAGAUC
RNAcentral lists this ribosomal RNA (277 nucleotides) under uncultured bacterium. RNAcentral describes it as "partial 16S ribosomal RNA". It matches the Rfam family "Bacterial small subunit ribosomal RNA", at positions 524 to 796 of the family's 1533-position model. The record is from RNAcentral.